UUUCCGUGCCUGCAGGAGGAAGAAAGGCUUUCCUCCUUCCCUGACGACAAUCAACCAAUGAGAAACAAACACACCUGGGUGAAUGAACAAACAACAUGGAAGGACACGUGAGACAUCAGAAGGCUACACUGUAUAUCUACCUUGCAAGUUUGUUAAGGGAGAUUGAGUUAGUACCUAAAAUAAUACUUUAAACCCUUUGAAAGGUAGUAUCUUCUGCCCUCGUGGCACAUACUGAUAGACAAGUAGGUACGUGUACAACACAUACUGCUUGCGAGAAGAUAAAUACUAUGUCAGUAUUCUCCUAUGUAUACCUUCCACAGUAAGUCACAAUUCCCUCACCAGACAGAUGUCCUGAGUGAACUACGAUGAAAAACCUUAUAAAUAGCAAGACAAAAGAGAAGAAGUAACAUUAAGAAUUUCCAAAGCCUCAUUCAUGAUAGAAAUUGACUCAAGGAGUUGUACAACAAACACAUAUCCAGAGUUUGUUAUAUUCCAAGCCCAAAACUUGGCAUCACACAUAAACAAGGUCCUUGUCCUCAGGGUUUGGGUUCUGGCAGAAGACACAUAGAAGUUGACAAGCAUUUACAGAGGAGUGUGGUAACUGCUAGAUUAAAGGAAAUCCAUGGAACUUUAAGAGGUCCCUAAGCAGUCUGGGGAGAGGUCGAACAUCUAAGGAGGUGACCAAGAAGAGAAAUGAGUAGAAAAAAUAAGGAAACCAUGCAGUCCUGAGGAAUCAAUGUCAACUGAACAUACAUGAAUAUUGAGAAGGAAAGAAGGAAAGAAAGGGGAGGUGUUCAGAGUAGAGAAAGAUGUGGUAAAAGAAGUCAGAAGAGUCAAUAAUUAAAGGCUAGAUUGGCGAUGUUAAGGAUUGUGGGGGACGCCAUCUUGUCAACAACGGGAAGCCUUCAGGAAUCGGGGCCCCUCCCCGCUGAACCCCUCACCUGUGACAAGAAUAAUCAGGCAGCAAGCACCUGGAAAUCAGGUA
Molecule: long non-coding RNA, 985 nt
Organism: Mustela erminea (ermine)
Lineage: Eukaryota; Metazoa; Chordata; Mammalia; Carnivora; Mustelidae
Exons: 3
Source: RefSeq, a predicted model, not a curated record